UUUAUCUUGAUUUUUAUAGAAAGAGAAAAUGAAGUAAGAGGAGUCUAAGUGAUAGCUCAUUCUACAAGUUACCUUAGAGUAUUUGUGAGUUAUUUUUAAAGAGAGUCUAUUGCAUUGGGGCAAAGGGUGCUGAUCUUGCAGAAAGAAGAACCAAAGCUGGUGACUUUCUUUUACAAGCAGAGCUGGAUUCAUUAUGUAGUUGGCUGAUUGGUGAAACUGAUUUAUUUUGAGUUCUUCAUCUAUUAGAAAUGACAUAAAUUAAAC
This 264-nucleotide long non-coding RNA is filed under the name Homo sapiens (human). RNAcentral describes it as "HSALNT0017254". The record is from RNAcentral. Lineage: Eukaryota; Metazoa; Chordata; Mammalia; Primates; Hominidae.